GAUGAAAGCUGGCGGCGUGCCUAAUACAUGCAAGUCGAGCGAACAGACGAGGAGCUUGCUCCUCUGACGUUAGCGGCGGACGGGUGAGUAACACGUGGAUAACCUACCUAUAAGACUGGGAUAACUUCGGGAAACCGGAGCUAAUACCGGAUAAUAUAUUGAACCGCAUGGUUCAAUAGUGAAAGACGGUUUUGCUGUCACUUAUAGAUGGAUCCGCGCCGCAUUAGCUAGUUGGUAAGGUAACGGCUUACCAAGGCAACGAUGCGUAGCCGACCUGAGAGGGUGAUCGGCCACACUGGAACUGAGACACGGUCCAGACUCCUACGGGAGGCAGCAGUAGGGAAUCUUCCGCAAUGGGCGAAAGCUUGACGGAGCAACGCCGCGUGAGUGAUGAAGGUCUUCGGAUCGUAAAACUCUGUUAUUAGGGAAGAACAAAUGUGUAAGUAACUAUGCACGUCUUGACGGUACCUAAUCAGAAAGCCACGGCUAACUACGUG
This 497-nucleotide ribosomal RNA is filed under the name uncultured bacterium. RNAcentral describes it as "partial 16S ribosomal RNA". It matches the Rfam family "Bacterial small subunit ribosomal RNA", at positions 28 to 507 of the family's 1533-position model. The record is from RNAcentral.